Molecule: long non-coding RNA, 250 nt
Filed under: Lathyrus oleraceus (garden pea)
Lineage: Eukaryota; Viridiplantae; Streptophyta; Magnoliopsida; Fabales; Fabaceae
Description: Pisum sativum (pea) long non-coding RNA (PSAT_LNC028235)
Source: RNAcentral
AAAAGUUUAACUUUUCAAUAAAAAGAAAGGGCAAAAAAUGAAAUUUUAAACACUUUCCACAUAAAAACUUACAUCUGUUGACAAAUAGUAUCAUUGGAUUUCAUAUCAAACUUAGCAUAAACAUUUGUCAAUUUGAUCAAUUUUUGUCAUUAAGAAAACCCCACUUUAAUUAAGAACCAAGACUCUUAAAAAAAUUAAUUAAACCUUUAGUGAUCUAACCACUUUUAGAAAGUUGUAAUAAUACAGUUUG